UGUAUAUUACGGAGAAUUGAACAGAGUUCUGUCCAAUGCGAGAGUUGGCUGGACAGAGGAAGCAUUUUUUAUAGAUCAUCAUGAAUACUUUUGAAGACAUUGCACAUUUGUAUUCUCUCUUUCAAGGCGUCACUGGCGCAUCAGGGCAGCUCGAUUUCAAGGGUCGUGUGAUGAGCUACAAAGCCGAAGGUCGAAUUCAUAAACUUCAGUGGGUGUAUGAUGGAACCGCCUGGGAUGUGGAGAGUGGAACAUGUGCGGAAGCCAGGCACUACAAAAGUACUCAAGGUGCUAUUCAACAUGCCUUAAAGAAACUAAUUGACGACCUCAAAGCUAAAGGAAUACUGAAAUGAAACGCGUUUUUUUUCAGACUUUGCGUGACAAAGAUGUCACACAAUUUUAUGUCAUCUCAGAGUAUAGUGAGAAAGAGCAUUGGUUAAUUUUUUUCUAUUUCCAGUACAAAUAUUGUCGAAUGGAUUUAAAAGAUAAUGUUGUGGCAAACAUCAUGUCAGUUAUAAGAACAUUUACGCUAGUUUGUAAAAGAAAAAAGUUGUCAGAGACGUUUUUUUUGGAAUGCGAGCAUGUUGGAAGAACUUCAAAAAGAAAUAAACGACUUUGCUUAUUGAAGCGUUCGUCGCCUCAUAUAGCCAACCUGUUAAUAUACUUCACCAUCACUCAAAAAUUUUUAAGCGCUGGAAUCUGAAGGCCAGUUUACUAACAUGCAAUACGAUCUUCCAUUUCUUUGUACCAACCGUGAUUCUGGUCUUUUAUCUAAAUGUUAUCACCUUGUUAAAUGACAGUUUUUUUGUAUUAAGCGAUCACCUGUAGGGAAUGGCAGAGUGACCUUUUUAUACAGAUUCCACAUAAAAGGGGUAAAAUAUAACAAUGAAAAACGCCAAAUGAUGCCAUUACUGACAAGUUAAUAUAGAAACGCUCGCCCAAAAAUACUACUAACAUUGAUUUCGAGAGAGAAACAUGAAUUAAAUUUCACCUGAAAGAUUAUUCUUUGUUCUAUUUGAGUGGCAUCGCUUAAAUGCUUUAAGUGACCGCGCGCGUUCAAUUAGGUGGGAAACAGGAUUUUGGGACUCACUCAAAGGUGACCAGGACAGCUUCGUAGAAGUAUGAAUUAUAGUGAUUAUUGGGAAACAAAUUCAGGACUUGACAAGCGAAUGCUUAGUACAGAGUGACCUUUAAAAACAGGUUCGACUGUAUCACUCUAAGGACAGGAAAAUAGCAUUUUGCGUCAACUGUGUUUCUCUAUAUAACAGAUGUCUACACAAUAUGUUAAUUUUACUUUACAAAAGUUUAUUUCUAACUAAGUAUCCUAUCCAUGUGAGGAAUAUGUUUACUUUUCGUAAUACUACUUGCGGUAACUACAUUCUGAAACUCCCUGUUGCUAAGACUACUUCUUAUGGCCUUCCGGCUCUUUUUCUUAUCAUGCCGUUAAACUAUGGAAUUCACUUCCGGACAGUUCGAACUUUGAACCUUAAUGACUUUAAAAAAGCAUUAGCUAGCCUUAAAUUAAUGUAAUUUUAGAACAUAUUGUAAUUGAACUCAUAUUGUAAUUUUAAAUAUUCUGUAAAUCUAUUUAUUUCAUUUUCGCCGUUAAUUAUAAACAUUGC
RNAcentral lists this long non-coding RNA (1619 nucleotides) under Stylophora pistillata. RNAcentral's name for it is "uncharacterized LOC111319160". Lineage: Eukaryota; Metazoa; Cnidaria; Anthozoa; Scleractinia; Pocilloporidae. The record is from RNAcentral.